This 675-nucleotide ribosomal RNA is filed under the name uncultured bacterium. Its description in RNAcentral is "bacterial SSU rRNA". It matches the Rfam family "Bacterial small subunit ribosomal RNA", at positions 82 to 773 of the family's 1533-position model. The record is from RNAcentral.
GCACAGCCUAGCCAAGGCGGACGGGUGAGUAACGCGUAAGGAACUUGCCCUGCAGUCAGGGAUAACAGACGGAAACGACUGAUAAGACCUGGUAAAGUCAGGCGGACUCAUGUCCAGCCUGAUGAAAAGAGAUGCUGCAGGAGAGCCUUGCGUCCUAUUAGCUUGUUGGUGGGGUAACGGCCCACCAAGGCGAUGAUAGGUAGCCGGCCUGAGAGGGUGGACGGCCACAAGGGGACUGAGAUACGGCCCUUACUCCUACGGGAGGCAGCAGUGGGGAAUAUUGGACAAUGGGGGCAACCCUGAUCCAGCAAUUCUGUGUGCACGAUGAAGGUUUUCGGAUUGUAAAGUGCUUUCAGCAGGGAAGAAAAAAAUGACGGUACCUGCAGAAGAAGCGACGGCUAAAUACGUGCCAGCAGCCGCGGUAAUACGUAUGUCGCAAGCGUUAUCCGGAAUUAUUGGGCAUAAAGGGCAUCUAGGCGGCCAGAUAAGUCUGGGGUGAAAACUUGCGGCUCAACCGCAAGCCUGCCCUGGAAACUAUGUGGCUAGAGUACUGGAGAGGUGGACGGAACUGCACGAGUAGAGGUGAAAUUCGUAGAUAUGUGCAGGAAUGCCGAUGAUGGAGAUAGUUCACUGGACGGUAACUGACGCUGAAGUGCGAAAGCUAGGGGAGCAAAC